RNAcentral lists this ribosomal RNA (494 nucleotides) under uncultured bacterium. Its description in RNAcentral is "partial 16S ribosomal RNA". It matches the Rfam family "Bacterial small subunit ribosomal RNA", at positions 28 to 507 of the family's 1533-position model. The record is from RNAcentral.
GACGAACGCUGGCGGCGUGCUUAACACAUGCAAGUCGAACGGUGAAGCGCCUUCCUUUUUGGUGGGUGUGGAUGAGUGGCGAACGGGUGAGUAACACGUGAGUAACCUGCCCCCUUCUUCUGGAUAACCGCAUGAAAGUGUGGCUAAUACGGGAUAUUCUGGGUCUGUCGCAUGAUGGGUCUGGGAAAGAUAUUGUUUCGGUGGGGGAUGGGCUCGCGGCCUAUCAGCUUGUUGGUGGGGUGAUGGCCUACCAAGGCGGUGACGGGUAGCCGGCCUGAGAGGGUGGACGGUCACACUGGGACUGAGAGACGGCCCAGACUCAUACGGGAGGCAGCAGUGGGGAAUAUUGCACAAUGGGCGCAAGCCUGAUGCAGCGACGCCGCGUGAGGGAUGGAGGCCUUCGGGUUGUGAACCUCUUUCGCCAGUGAAGCAGGCCUGCCUCGUUUGUGGGUGGGUUGACGGUAGCUGGAUAAGAAGCGCCGGCUAACUACGUG